AACGAGGAGAGUAAAAAGAUUAAAACAGGAUGAGAAGUGAACUGAAGAUCACAGUCAGUUACGUCCUCUAGUGGAUUCAUCUGCACACAGCACAGUCUUGAAGCAAGAUUGAUCAAGAAACAAGUUACACGAGACUGAAGGACAGUACAGAACAGUACAGAAAGGGCACAGGGGGGAGAGAGUGGAGGGGAUGGCGUCAGAAAGGACCUCGAGCUGGGACAAUUUCAAGGAUCACCCGAAUUACAGCCACACUAUAUACACGAGGCUGCUGGUUCUAACAUUUUAGGGUCCCCUUCAGUAGAAAUCACAUUCUGCAUUCCCCGUUGUAAAAAAGUCUGGGGCGGGGAGGGUUUCUCCUUGUUAGAAAACCCCCCACCACCACGGGGUGCCCCCUCUCACGCUCGGCCCUUGGAAUCAUCCUAACAGUCCCUCCCCAUACGACGCCCCUGGUUGCAGGUUCCCUUCCCUACUGUUCAACACAUUUUCACUGCACAGAUGUACAAUUCUCUUGUCAUGAGACACAAGUAAAGCAUGUUUUUAACAGAAAUUAUAGUUUUCCACCAAAAUAAGAGAUCAGCUGGUUUUAGUCAUAAAAGUACAAGGGUUUCUCUUUUUUUGUUCAAGUGCUGCACAAAAUAUACAUAUUAUUUUACAGAAACCUUUAAAUAUUAUUGUGUUUUGAUUGUUCUUCUACAGGUUUUAACAAUACAUCCAUGCAUAAACACU
Molecule: long non-coding RNA, 726 nt
Organism: Carassius auratus (goldfish)
Lineage: Eukaryota; Metazoa; Chordata; Actinopteri; Cypriniformes; Cyprinidae
Exons: 3
Source: RefSeq, a predicted model, not a curated record